AAUAAAUCUAUUUUUCAGUUUUCGAUACGAAUGUUUGACUUUUUGUCUUAUUUAAAAUUUUUCUAUAAUUAAUAUUUUUAUUGUUACUAGAUGAUAAAACAUGAAUAAUACUUUACACGUGACUAACUUUUAAAUAAAAUUUUUAAAUAAGACGGAUUAUUAAACGCUACACACGAAACUUAAA
Molecule: microRNA precursor, 184 nt
Filed under: Oryza brachyantha (malo sina)
Lineage: Eukaryota; Viridiplantae; Streptophyta; Magnoliopsida; Poales; Poaceae
Description: MIR812 microRNA precursor family
Rfam family: MIR812 microRNA precursor family
Source: Rfam by way of RNAcentral